GCUGGAGAGAAUGAGCUUGGAGCCGCAGGGCUUAAUCCCGCGCGGCUCAGAGAUGGGUUUCUGGACUCGCGAAGCAGCUGCAACAAGGCAUCACUCACUGUAUAAGUAUUUCCAUUUCUGAGAGCAAAAGGAAGAACUUAAGCGGGCGGCACUUGGAGUGUAAAUUGCUUUGUAGUAUUUAAAGGCAGAAUGGAUCCUGGGCAGCCGAGCUGAUCAUGAGGUUCCUGAGGCCUCCUAGCCGUGCUUCCUGUGCAGCCUAUGGAACUAAUCACUGUUGUAUUUUUAAACCUUAUUCCUGGAAGCACUACGGAUAUCAGAUCAAUUUAGAAAGCCAAAGAGUACCUCUGGGAAUGAAAUGGCAGUAAUAGAAACAAUAUUUGACCAAACUAUCGCUGUAUGCCAAUGAUGCCAAAAAUCACAGUAACCUGGCAGCAACAAACCAGCAGGACUUCCUGUGAAAUCAUGACCGCCAUGUGCUCUUUCAGCCUCCAUCAAUUCCUACCUCUAAGCACCUGAGAGCCAAAGCAAACCACAGGAAACCACAGGUACUAACUCUUUUAGACCUGAUGAAGUGUCUCCCAAAGACAGUCUGGCAUGACUCAAACUAAACAUCAGCUUUUCCCGGCUCUCAAGCCUGCUGGUCCCUGAACUAAAACUCACAUUAUCAACUCUACUGGUUCUUAGGCCUUUGGAGUCAGACUGGAACUACAGCAUUGACUCUUCCGGAACUCCAGCUUACUGACUACAGAUCUUGGAACUUUUCAGCUUCCACAACCAUAACGAAAGCCAAGCAUAUUCCAUCAUUUCCUAAAACCAAGAUAGAGCACAUACAGGAACUUGCAAAAUAAGGAUGCCCUGCGGUUGUUUUCAGGACUGAAGACAACAGCUCCACAAUGAAACCAAAGCACAAAGAGAGAGAGAAAAGAAAGAGAAAAAAAGGAAGAAAGAAAAGAAAGAUGAAAGAAAGAAAGAAAGAGAAAGAAGAGAGAGGGAGAGAGAGAAAGAAAGAAAAAGAAGGAAAGAAAGAAAGAAGGAAAGAAAAAGAAAGAGAGAAAGAAAGAAAGAAAGAGAAAGAAAGAAAGAAAGAAAGAAGGAAGGAAAAGAAACACAUGGAAAGUGACAGGCUUCCUUUGUAUAUCACCUUGCAUGAUAAAGUGCAGAGAGCUCCAUCAGAGAAACGCAGUUAAAAUCCAGUAGAUACCACCGUACACCUGAAAGAAUUGUGAACAAACAGAUGACAGAAAAACAAAACAAAGCAAAGCAGAACCUGAGAAUUUGAAUUGCUGGUGAGGAUAUUGAGCAAGCGGAACUCCUAUACUUUGCUGGAGGGAAUGGAAAAUAGUACAGGCAAUUUGGAAAAGAGUUAGACUGUUGUAUAUAAAAUUUAAUACAUACUUACCUUACAAAGUAGGAAUCUCAUUCCUAGAUGUCUUCCUAAGAA
Molecule: long non-coding RNA, 1441 nt
Organism: Gorilla gorilla gorilla (western lowland gorilla)
Lineage: Eukaryota; Metazoa; Chordata; Mammalia; Primates; Hominidae
Exons: 9
Source: RefSeq, a predicted model, not a curated record